GCGGCGAACGGGUGAGUAACACGUGAGUAAUCUGCCCCUGGCUUUGGGAUAGCCACCGGAAACGGUGAUUAAUACCGGAUACGACAACUUCUCGCAUGGGAUGGUUGUGGAAAGUUUUUCNGNCNNGGAUGUGCUCNCGGCCUAUCANCUUGAUGGUGAGGUAAUGGCUCACCNUGGNUUCNACNGGNAGNCNGCCUGANAGGGUGACCNGNCACNCUGGGACUGANACACNGNCCANACUCCUACGGGAGGNANCNNUGGGGAAUAUUGGACAAUGGGNGGAAGCCUGAUCCANCAACGCCNCNNGAGGGAUGACGGCCUUCNGGUUGUNAACCUCUNUCNGUACCNACNAANCGCAAGUGACNNNNGGUACAGAAGAANCACCGGCCAACUACNUGCCNNCNNCCGCGGUAAUACGUAGGGUGCGAGCGUUGUCCGGAAUUAUUGGGCGUAAAGGGCUCGUAGGCGGUUUGUCGCGUCGGGAGUGAAAACGCCGUGCUUAACACGGCGCUUGCUUUNGAUACGGGCAGACUAGAGGUAUUCAGGGGAGAACGGAAUUCCUGGUGUAGCGGUGAAAUGCGCAGAUAUCAGGAGGAACACCGGUGGCGAAGGCGGUUCUCUGGGAAUGACCUGACGCUGAGGAGCGAAAGUGUGGGGAGCGAACAGGAUUAGAUACCCUGGUAGUCCACACCGUAAACGUUGGGCGCUAGGUGUGGGGUCCAUUCCACGGAUUCCGUGCCGCAGCUAACGCAUUAAGCGCCCCGCCUGGGGAGUACGGCCGCAAGGCUAAAACUCAAAGGAAUUGACGGGGGCCCGCACAAGCGGCGGAGCAUGCGGAUUAAUUCGAUGCAACGCGAAGAACCUUACCUGGGUUUGACAUACACCNNNCCGCUCCAGAGAUGGGGNUUCUUUNNNNNGUGUACAGGUGGUGCAUGGCNGUCGUCAGCUCGUGUCGUGAGAUGUUGGGUUAAGUCCCGCAACGAGCGCAACCCUCGUUCUAUGUNGCCAGCACGCCCUUNGGGGUGGUGGGGACUCAUAGGAGACUGCCGGGGUCAACUCGGAGGAAGGUGGGGAUGACGUCAAGUCAUCAUGCCCCUUAUGUCCAGGGCUUCACGCAUGCUACAAUGGCCGGUACAAAGGGNUGCGAUCCCGUAAGGGGGAGNGAAUCCCAAAAANCCGGUCUCAGUUCGGAUUGGGGUNUGCAACUCGACCCCAUGAAGUCGGAGUCGCUAGUAAUCGCAGAUCAGCAACGCUGCGGUGAAUACGUUCCCGGGCCUUGUACACACCGCCCGUCACGUCACGAAAGUCGGCAACACCCGAAGCCG
Molecule: ribosomal RNA, 1325 nt
Filed under: Nocardioides sp.
Lineage: Bacteria; Bacillati; Actinomycetota; Actinomycetes; Propionibacteriales; Nocardioidaceae
Description: partial 16S ribosomal RNA
Rfam family: Bacterial small subunit ribosomal RNA
Source: RNAcentral